GUGUCAGCAGCCGCGGUAAUACGGAGGGUGCGAGCGUUGUCCGGAAUCAUUGGGCGUAAAGGGCGCGUAGGUGGCCCGGUCAGUCUUUGGUGAAAGCGCGGGGCUCAACCCUGCGUCGGCCAGGGAUACUGCCGCGGCUCGAGCACUGUAGAGGCAGGCGGAAUUCCGGGUGUAGCGGUGGAAUGCGUAGAGAUCCGGAAGAACACCGGUGGCGAAGGCGGCCUGCUGGGCAGUUUAGCUGACACUGAGGCGCGACAGCGUGGGGAGCAAACAGGAUUAGAUACCCUGGUAGUCC
Molecule: ribosomal RNA, 295 nt
Filed under: uncultured bacterium
Lineage: Bacteria
Description: partial 16S ribosomal RNA
Rfam family: Bacterial small subunit ribosomal RNA
Source: RNAcentral